CCGAGUUUACAACUCCCAAACCCCUGUGAACAUACCACUUGUUGACCUCGGCGGAUCAGCCCGCUCCCGGUAAAACGGGACGGCCCGCCAGAGGACCCCUAAACUCUGUUUCUAUAUGUAGCUUCUGAGUAAACCAUAAAUAAAUCA
RNAcentral lists this unclassified non-coding RNA (147 nucleotides) under soil metagenome. RNAcentral describes it as "partial internal transcribed spacer 1". The record is from RNAcentral.